Molecule: long non-coding RNA, 311 nt
Organism: Dendronephthya gigantea
Lineage: Eukaryota; Metazoa; Cnidaria; Anthozoa; Malacalcyonacea; Nephtheidae
Exons: 3
Source: RefSeq, a predicted model, not a curated record
GUCAAAUUUUAAAGCGAAGACCAUAAAUAUGGGUGUGACUAUUGAAGUGUAUCGCGCCAGGAUUGGUUCACAUCACAAUUUUACAGAUUGUCGCAACAGUCUGUGUCGUCUUAAAGACUUUCAAAUGAUGUGGAGGAAAAUCCAGGUCCUAGGACUAUAAAUGAUAUAGUUGACCCUGCUUGUACAAUCCAUGCUGAUUUUAAUCAAGGUAAUGACUUAAUGUUUGGUGUGAAUGCUGGUAAGCAGUGUGUUGCCAUGUCACUAUAUGCAAUUGUUUACAAAGAAAUUAAAUCAGUCAAUAUUUGGGACAA